AGAUUCCCCCAGUAGCGGCGAGCGAACGGGGAGGAGCCCAGAGCCUGAAUCAGCAUGUGUGUUAGUGGAAGCGUCUGGAAAGUCGCGCGAUACAGGGUGACAGCCCCGUACACAAAAGCGCAUGUGCUGUGAGCUCGAUGAGUAGGGCGGGACACGUGGUAUCCUGUCUGAAUAUGGGGGGACCAUCCUCCAAGGCUAAAUACUCCUGACUGACCGAUAGUGAACCAGUACCGUGAGGGAAAGGCGAAAAGAACCCCGGCGAGGGGAGUGAAACAGAACCUGAAACCGUGUACGUACAAGCAGUGGGAGCACAGGUUUACCUGUGUGACUGCGUACCUUUUGUAUAAUGGGUCAGCGACUUAUAUUCUGUAGCAAGGUUAACCGAAUAGGGGAGCCGGAGGGAAACCGAGUCUUAAUUGGGCGUUAAGUUGCAGGGUAUAGACCCGAAACCCGGUGAUCUAGCCAUGGGCAGGUUGAAGGUUGGGUAACACUAACUGGAGGACCGAACCGACUAAUGUUGAAAAAUUAGCGGAUGACCUGUGGCUGGGGGUGAAAGGCCAAUCAAACCGGGAGAUAGCUGGUUCUCCCCGAAAGCUAUUUAGGUAGCGCCUCGUGAAUUCAUCUCCGGGGGUAGAGCACUGUUUCGGCUAGGGGGCCAUCCCGGCUUACCAACCCGAUGCAAACUGCGAAUACCGGAGAAUGUUAUCACGGGAGACACACGGCGGGUGCUAACGUCCGUCGUGAAGAGGGAAACAACCCAGACCGCCAGCUAAGGUCCCAAAGUCAUGGUUAAGUGGGAAACGAUGUGGGAAGGCCCAGACAGCCAGGAUGUUGGCUUAGAAGCAGCCAUCAUUUAAAGAAAGCGUAAUAGCUCACUGGUCGAGUCGGCCUGCGCGGAAGAUGUAACGGGGCUAAACCAUG
This 921-nucleotide ribosomal RNA is filed under the name Salmonella enterica subsp. enterica serovar Paratyphi B var. L(+) tartrate +. Its description in RNAcentral is "partial 23S ribosomal RNA". It matches the Rfam family "Bacterial large subunit ribosomal RNA", at positions 232 to 1191 of the family's 2925-position model. The record is from RNAcentral. Lineage: Bacteria; Pseudomonadati; Pseudomonadota; Gammaproteobacteria; Enterobacterales; Enterobacteriaceae.